GGCUCGCAGGCGGUUUCUUAAGUCUGAUGUGAAAGCCCCCGGCCCUACCGGGGAGGGUCAUUGGAAACUGGGGAACUUGAGUGCCCAAGAGGAGAGUGGAAUUCCACGUGUAGCGGUGAAAUGCGUAGAGAUGUGGAGGAACACCAGUGGCGAAGGCGACUCUCUGGUCUGUAACUGACGCUGAGGAGCGAAAGCGUGGGGAGCGAACAGGAUUAGAUACCCUGGUAGUCCACGCCGUAAACGAUGAGUGCUAAGUGUUAGGGGGUUUCCGCCCCUUAGUGCUGCAGCUAACGCAUUAAGCACUCCGCCUGGGGAGUACGGUCGCAAGACUGAAACUCAAAGGAAUUGACGGGGGCCCGCACAAGCGGUGGAGCAUGUGGUUUAAUUCGAAGCAACGCGAAGAACCUUACCAGGUCUUGACAUCCUCUGACAAUCCUAGAGAUAGGACGUCCCCUUCGGGGGCAGAGUGACAGGUGGUGCAUGGUUGUCGUCAGCUCGUGUCGUGAGAUGUUGGGUUAAGUCCCGCAACGAGCGCAACCCUUGAUCUUAGUUGCCAGCAUUCAGUUGGGCACUCUAAGGUGACUGCCGGUGACAAACCGGAGGAAGGUGGGGAUGACGUCAAAUCAUCAUGCCCCUUAUGACCUGGGCUACACACGUGCUACAAUGGACAGAACAAAGGGCAGCGAAACCGCGAGGUUAAGCCAAUCCCACAAAUCUGUUCUCAGUUCGGAUCGCAGUCUGCAACUCGACUGCGUGAAGCUGGAAUCGCUAGUAAUCGCGGAUCAGCAUGCCGCGGUGAAUACGUUCCCG
This 810-nucleotide ribosomal RNA is filed under the name Bacillus subtilis. RNAcentral's name for it is "bacterial SSU rRNA". It matches the Rfam family "Bacterial small subunit ribosomal RNA", at positions 566 to 1376 of the family's 1533-position model. Lineage: Bacteria; Bacillati; Bacillota; Bacilli; Caryophanales; Bacillaceae. The record is from RNAcentral.